RNAcentral lists this transfer-messenger RNA (123 nucleotides) under Nitrospira sp. RNAcentral describes it as "partial transfer-messenger RNA". It matches the Rfam family "transfer-messenger RNA", at positions 1 to 133 of the family's 374-position model. Rfam says of the family: Bacterial tmRNA, also known as 10Sa RNA or SsrA, is named for its dual tRNA and mRNA-like properties. Lineage: Bacteria; Pseudomonadati; Nitrospirota; Nitrospiria; Nitrospirales; Nitrospiraceae. The record is from RNAcentral.
GGGGGCGACCGGUUUCGACGGGGAUACUAAAGUCAGCGGUGCAUGUCGAGCUCUCGGGGUCUCGUAAAUCCUCCGGGAAAAUGUAACUGCCAAUCAAGAACUGGCACUCGCAGCUUAAUUAAC